CCUAUCGUGAGGCAGCAGUGAGGAAUAUUGGACAAUGGGCGCAAGCCUGAUCCAGCCAUGCCGCGUGCAGGAUGACGGUCCUAUGGAUUGUAAACUGCUUUUGUACAGGAAGAAACACUGGUUCGUGAACCAGCUUGACGGUACUGUAAGAAUAAGGAUCGGCUAACUCCGUGCCAGCAGCCGCGGUAAU
This 190-nucleotide ribosomal RNA is filed under the name uncultured bacterium. RNAcentral's name for it is "partial 16S ribosomal RNA". It matches the Rfam family "Bacterial small subunit ribosomal RNA", at positions 338 to 524 of the family's 1533-position model. The record is from RNAcentral.